UGGAGCUCAGGUCUCUAGACAGAGCAGAAAGCCCAGCAAACAAACAAACAAACAGACACCAUUGAGCCCCUCACAUGGAGACUCCGGCAGUUGUAGGACAACAUUCUAAAGUCAGUACAGAAGACUACAGAGAGGAAGAGGUGGGCUGAGCAGGAUUUACUAUUGGAGAGUGAGGUCCUUGAAAACCAGCAUAGGAGAAUAAAGGCGUCGUUACCCUUGAGCAUUCGGUCAUGAAACUGCUGGAGAGGAAAUUAAUUAACCCCUGCCAAGGCUUCCCAGCUGCGGGGCAGGAAUUAAGCUGUCAUCCCUCUUGGAUGCUUGGAUCAGACCUGCUUUGGCUGGCUCAGCCUCUGAAUGAACAACCGGCUCUUCUCCCCUUCGGCUGCCCUUAGACUGAGAACACUGCUCCAAGCAGUGCUACAAAGGACGGACGGAACCUAGAGACAAAUGGACCUUUUCCCAAAGUUACAAGGGAACUUAAAAGCUCUGAACUUCCAAACUGAAUAUAAAAUUUCACAAGAUAUAUUUACAUUAAAAAUAAAAGGGUAAAGUCUUUAAAGGAAGGAGAGUUCAUGUGUGUGUUUGUGCAUAUUUUUCCUAUGUUAAUAAUAAAAGGGAAACACAAUAUCACAGGACAUCUGGAUUAUAUAUACUCUUGCUAUACUUAC
This 668-nucleotide small RNA is filed under the name Rattus norvegicus (Norway rat). RNAcentral's name for it is "uncharacterized LOC108350995". Lineage: Eukaryota; Metazoa; Chordata; Mammalia; Rodentia; Muridae. The record is from RNAcentral.